This 414-nucleotide unclassified non-coding RNA is filed under the name fungal sp. RNAcentral describes it as "partial internal transcribed spacer region". The stretch from base 1 to 46 matches the Rfam family "Eukaryotic small subunit ribosomal RNA", at positions 1786 to 1831 of the family's 1831-position model. The record is from RNAcentral. Lineage: Eukaryota; Fungi.
AAGUCGUAACAAGGUUUCCGUAGGUGAACCUGCGGAAGGAUCAUUAACACGUAUCCACGUAUCAACCAACGCGCACCUGUUUUCACAUCUCCCUUUUCCCUGCCAACUGGCUAGCUAAUGUGAUUUAAUUGAAUGGGGCUUUCGAUUCCGGUCGAGAGUCUGUGGUCACACGUGACGUGGAGCUUUACGGCUUCUAACGGUAGCAGGGAGGAAGGUACAACUGCGUCUAUUCGACUACCUCUCCAUUCAAAGAGGGAAUGGAUAGACGUGAAACCAUUUACUAAUUUCACCGCUUUUUUGCUAGUUGACUUUGACUGUGAAUUCGCUAGUGGUUCAUUCCACGAAACGAUUCGCACGUUUAAAUUUAUUUGAACGUUAAAGAUACAACUCUUAGCAAUGGAUAUCUUGGUUCUC